RNAcentral lists this ribosomal RNA (258 nucleotides) under Plectosphaerella cucumerina. Its description in RNAcentral is "5.8S ribosomal RNA". The stretch from base 1 to 153 matches the Rfam family "5.8S ribosomal RNA". From Rfam's summary of the family: 5.8S ribosomal RNA (5.8S rRNA) is a component of the large subunit of the eukaryotic ribosome. It is transcribed by RNA polymerase I as part of the 45S precursor that also contains 18S and 28S rRNA. The record is from RNAcentral. Lineage: Eukaryota; Fungi; Ascomycota; Sordariomycetes; Glomerellales; Plectosphaerellaceae.
ACUUUUAACAACGGAUCUCUUGGCUCCAGCAUCGAUGAAGAACGCAGCGAAACGCGAUAUGUAAUGUGAAUUGCAGAAUUCAGUGAAUCAUCGAAUCUUUGAACGCACAUGGCGCCUUCCAGUAUCCUGGGAGGCAUGCCUGUCCGAGCGUCGUUUCAACCCUCGAGCCCCUGUGGCCCGGCGUUGGGGAUCUGCCACGGCAGGCCCCUAAAACCAGUGGCGGACCCGAAGGGCCCUCUCCUUUGCGCAGUAGCAUUU